Molecule: ribosomal RNA, 454 nt
Filed under: uncultured bacterium
Lineage: Bacteria
Description: partial 16S ribosomal RNA
Rfam family: Bacterial small subunit ribosomal RNA
Source: RNAcentral
GAUGAACGCUGACAGAAUGCUUAACACAUGCAAGUCAACUUGAACUUCGGUUUGGGUGGCGGACGGGUGAGUAACGCGUAAAGAACUUGCCUCACAGAUAGGGACAACAUUUGGAAACGAAUGCUAAUACCUGAUAUUAUGAUUAUAUGGCAUCGUAUAAUUAUGAAAGCCAUAUGCGCUGUGAGAGAGCUUUGCGUCCCAUUAGCUAGUUGGAGAGGUAACGGCUCACCAAGGCGAUGAUGGGUAGCCGGCCUGAGAGGGUGAUCGGCCACAAGGGGACUGGGACACGGCCCUUACUCCUACGGGAGGCAGCAGUGGGGAAUAUUGGACAAUGGACCAAGAGUCUGAUCCAGCAAUUCUGUGUGCACGAUGAAGUUUUUCGGAAUGUAAAGUGCUUUCAGUUGGGAAGAAAAAAAUGACGGUACCAACAGAAGAAGUGACGGCUAAAUACGUG